This is a long non-coding RNA of Grammomys surdaster, 707 nucleotides long. RefSeq lists it as uncharacterized. Lineage: Eukaryota; Metazoa; Chordata; Mammalia; Rodentia; Muridae. The record is from RefSeq and is a predicted model, not a curated record. The transcript has 3 exons.
CAGCCCGGCGGCUUCACGGAUGCCCGCUUGGACGGCCAGCAGCCGAGGUGGCCGGUGGCUGGGGUCCUAGAGCGCUCUUGCCAGCCUCUGGCACUCAGUGUCCUCUGGAGCACACUGGAGCGACCACGCCUCGGGUUCUGCAGGGCUUGCAUUUGAUAGGUUGAGAAACUGAAGCUCAGGCGUGAGAGCCCAGUACCCUGAGGACAUAAAAUCAACAAGGAACAGAGCUGGCGUACUGGCCAGGGUGAAUUGCCGAUUGAUUUGUUAUUUAUCCCACUGACAACAAAGCGAGUGAAAAGCUUGUCCUUGGAAUGUUCACUGCUCUCCCUGUUUUGGAAUGGUCCUUGGCAUACAGUUGGAACUUCAUAAAUAAUUGUCCAAAUGAGAGGACAAAGGCUGAGCAAAGGAGAAGCCCAACCAGGCAGGCAAUCCGGUAAUGUCAGACACACCCUGGCUCAGGCCCAGCCUGCUUCCACACUGGACAGAUAUGUGGUGGAUCCCUCCUUCCAUGUAACAAGUACACCUCAAAAAUCUACAUGCAGUUCCAUGGCGUGCCUGGGCCCCAGGUGGACCCAGCACCAGCCCUCAUGGACUACAUUCUAAAAUGAAGCUCUGGGGGUCCCCUCAGCUCCCAGACUCCCUGGUCAGCCCUCAGCCAUCCAACAGAUACUGAAACAUAACAGUCAUGGCCCCAAAUUCCUAUGACG